CCGGCACGGGUGAGUAACACGUAUGCAAUCCACCUGUAACAGGGGGAUAACCCGGAGAAAUCCGGACUAAUACCCCAUAAUAUGGGCGCUCCGCAUGGAGAGCCCAUUAAAGAGAGCAAUUUUGGUUACAGACGAGCAUGCGCUCCAUUAGCCAGUUGGCGGGUAACGGCCCACCAAAGCGACGAUGGAUAGGGGUUCUGAGAGGAAGGCCCCCCACAUUGGAACUGAGACACGGUCCAA
RNAcentral lists this ribosomal RNA (240 nucleotides) under uncultured bacterium. RNAcentral's name for it is "partial 16S ribosomal RNA". It matches the Rfam family "Bacterial small subunit ribosomal RNA", at positions 100 to 334 of the family's 1533-position model. The record is from RNAcentral.